This 466-nucleotide ribosomal RNA is filed under the name uncultured bacterium. Its description in RNAcentral is "partial 16S ribosomal RNA". It matches the Rfam family "Bacterial small subunit ribosomal RNA", at positions 28 to 505 of the family's 1533-position model. The record is from RNAcentral.
GACGAACGCUGGCGGCGUGCUUAACACAUGCAAGUUGAACGGAAAGGCCCUGCUUUUGUGGGGUGCUCGAGUGGCGAACGGGUGAGUAACACGUGAGUAACCUGCCCUUGACUUUGGGAUAACUUCAGGAAACUGGGGCUAAUACCGGAUAGGAGCUCCUGCUGCAUGGUGGGGGUUGGAAAGUUUCGGCGGUUGGGGAUGGACUCGCGGCUUAUCAGCUUGUUGGUGGGGUAGUGGCUUACCAAGGCUUUGACGGGUAGCCGGCCUGAGAGGGUGACCGGCCACAUUGGGACUGAGGUACGGCCCAGACUCCUACGGGAGGCAGCAGUGGGGAAUAUUGCACAAUGGGCGGAAGCCUGAUGCAGCAACGCCGCGUGCGGGAUGACGGCCUUCGGGUUGUAAACCGCUUUCGCCUGUGACGAAGCGUGAGUGACGGUAAUGGGUAAAGAAGCACCGGCUAACUACG